AUACUUACCUGGACGAGGUAUAUGGGCGAUCAACAAGGCUCAUAGCCUAAGUUAGUGGCCUCCAUUGCACUCGGGAGGUGCACUAGCUUACCAUCUUCCUAAGGGGAGAGCGGACGUCGUAAUUUGUGGUAGUGGGGGUACGCGUUCGCGCGACCCCUA
Small nuclear RNA from Phragmites australis (common reed), 159 nucleotides. RefSeq annotates it as U1 spliceosomal RNA. NCBI's taxonomy places the organism in Eukaryota, Viridiplantae, Streptophyta, Magnoliopsida, Poales, Poaceae. The record is from RefSeq and is a predicted model, not a curated record. The transcript has a single exon.